This 404-nucleotide ribosomal RNA is filed under the name uncultured bacterium. RNAcentral describes it as "bacterial SSU rRNA". It matches the Rfam family "Bacterial small subunit ribosomal RNA", at positions 8 to 422 of the family's 1533-position model. The record is from RNAcentral.
AGAGUUUGAUCCUGGCUCAGGAUGAACGCUGGCGGCGUGCCUAAUACAUGCAAGUCGAACGGACGUAGCAAUACGUUAGUGGCGACCGGGUGCGUAACACGUAGCUGACCUGCCCUUCAGCGGGGGACAACAUGCCGAAAGGCGUGCUAAUACCGCAUGGACUGGAGGUGACUAGAUAGCCUUCAGGAAACUUCCGGGGCUGAAGGAGGGGGCUGCGGCUCAUCAGGUAGUUGGUGAGGUAACGGCUCACCAAGCCGACGACGAGUAGGGGACCUGAGAGGGUGACCCCCCACACUGGAACUGACACACGGUCCAGACUCCUACGGGAGGCAGCAGUAAGGAAUAUUGGGCAAUGGGCGCAAGCCUGACCCAGCAACGCCGCGUGGAGGACGACGGUUCUCGGA